AUUGAAGUAGUUUAAGUAAAAUAUUGAUUUGUGGAAUCAAAGAUUAAUUAUACUUCAAUU
This 60-nucleotide transfer RNA is filed under the name Paratrioza sinica. Its description in RNAcentral is "tRNA-His". Lineage: Eukaryota; Metazoa; Arthropoda; Insecta; Hemiptera; Triozidae. RNAcentral also lists the same sequence under 1 other name. The record is from RNAcentral.